AGAAUGAACGUUGGCGGCGUGGAUUAGGCAUGCAAGUCGGACGGGCCGCAAGGCCAGUGGCGUAAGGGUGAGUAAGGCGACGGCAAUCAACCCCACGGUUGGGUAUAGCCGCGAGAAAUCGCGGGUAAUCCCCAGCGACGCACGGCGUCGGCAUCGACGCCCUGCCAAAGGCUCGCCGCCGUGGGACGAGCCGUCGUGGUAUUAGGUGGUUGGCGGGGUAACGGCCCACCAAGCCUGCGAUGCCUACCGGGCGUGCGAGCGUGGCCCGGCACACUGGGACUGAGACACUGCCCAGACACCUACGGGUGGCUGCAGUCGAGAAUCUUCGGCAAUGGGCGAAAGCCUGACCGAGCGACGCCGUGUGUGGGAUGAAGGCCUUCGGGUUGUAAACCACUGUCGUAGAGGAGGAAAUCAUCGGGGGUUCUCCCCCGGAGUUGACCUAUUCUAGGAGGAAGGACGGGCUAAGUACGUGCCAGCAGCCGC
This 483-nucleotide ribosomal RNA is filed under the name uncultured bacterium. RNAcentral describes it as "SSU rRNA". It matches the Rfam family "Bacterial small subunit ribosomal RNA", at positions 26 to 518 of the family's 1533-position model. The record is from RNAcentral.